This 31-nucleotide non-coding RNA is filed under the name Mus musculus (house mouse). The record is from RNAcentral. Lineage: Eukaryota; Metazoa; Chordata; Mammalia; Rodentia; Muridae.
UGGGUUUCUCUCUGUCUACAGUAUUGAACUA